GGAGUCGGACAGGCUAUCGUCGCGGGCCGUAUGGCCCGGGGAGGAAAGUCCGGGCUUCACAGGGCAGGACGCUGGAUAACGUCCAGCGGGAGCGAUCCCGGGAGAGCGCAACAGAAAACAAACCGCCCGCGCCCCUCAAGCGCAGGUAAGGGUGAAACGGUGGGGUAAGAGCCCACCAGUUGCCGUGGCGACACGGCAAGCUCGGCAUGCCCCGUUCGAAGCAAGACCAAAUAGGAGGGCGUUAAGGCUGGCCCGGCCGUGCCCUCGGGUAGGUUGCUUGAGGCCGCAGGCAACUGCGGUCCUAGAGGAAUGAUGGCCGCCCCGGAACUUCCGGGGAACAAAACCCGGCUUAUCGGCCGACUCCCCUU
Desulfovibrio sp. DV is the source of this 368-nucleotide non-coding RNA. NCBI's taxonomy places the organism in Bacteria, Pseudomonadati, Thermodesulfobacteriota, Desulfovibrionia, Desulfovibrionales, Desulfovibrionaceae. The record is from Rfam.